RNAcentral lists this ribosomal RNA (253 nucleotides) under uncultured bacterium. Its description in RNAcentral is "partial 16S ribosomal RNA". It matches the Rfam family "Bacterial small subunit ribosomal RNA", at positions 524 to 776 of the family's 1533-position model. The record is from RNAcentral.
UACGUAGGGCGCGAGCGUUGUCCGGAAUUAUUGGGCGUAAAGAGCUCGUAGGCGGUUUGUCGCGUCUGCUGUGAAAACGCGAGGCUCAACCUCGCGCCUGCAGUGGGUACGGGCAGACUAGAGUGCGGUAGGGGAGAUUGGAAUUCCUGGUGUAGCGGUGGAAUGCGCAGAUAUCAGGAGGAACACCGGUGGCGAAGGCGGCUAUCUGGACCGACAUUGACGCUGAGGCGCGAAAGCGUGGGGAGCAAACAGG